This is a long non-coding RNA of Mya arenaria, 3393 nucleotides long. RefSeq lists it as uncharacterized. The transcript has 3 exons. The record is from RefSeq and is a predicted model, not a curated record. NCBI's taxonomy places the organism in Eukaryota, Metazoa, Mollusca, Bivalvia, Myida, Myidae.
CACAGGCAUCUGGCUCAUUGAGUUCCUAAAAUACCUCGGCCAGUAUCAAACAGGAAUUGGCCUCGGAAAUAAUACGGGUUAUUGAAAAUAGUCCAUCAUGGCCGACCAAAGAGAUGUUCAAUCAACCAAGCGAUAUGUUAGACCAAAGACAGGAUGAGGGGAGAACUAUUACCACUUAUUUGUGUGGCAGUAUGGUACCAGUGGUGCGACCGGCUUUGAAUUACUGGCUUGUUCUGAUGAAAAAUGGCAGAUGGGACACAGGAAUGUAAUCAAAUAUGCCAUUGUACUGAGGAUUGACCUGCAAUACAUGGAAAACAUGUAACACAACUGCAAAACCAACCUGGAAGGGAAAAUAAGUACAAGAUGGAAACAAAGUGGAACAACAUGUUUAGUGGAACAACUUGAUAUUUGAUGACUUACAUACUGAUGUGAAGUUGCAGAUAAUAGUCAACUGUUGGCUUGUGAUUAGUAAAUACAAAAAGUAUAAUUAAACCCUUGAUGCCUGAAGCAAAACAAUCCAAAGCUGGACAUUUACUUAACAACCUAGAUAGAGCCAGACUCCUUAAUUAUGCUUGGUAGUGCAACUCAGUGGUAACCCUCUUGCAACUUUUAAAUAGUUAAAUAUAUUUUUCAGAGUAUUUGAGUGAACGUUACAUUUUAUCCAGACACAUAUUUCUUCACUGUGGAUCUUUUUUCACAAUGGAAAGUGCAUAUUUAUAUAUAUUAUUCAACUGUGUGGUAAAGGAUUCAUCUACGCUUAAAACGGUUUUCAUAAGAAGGAGAGAAGAUAACUAUAAAAACAGAAACAGAUGGAAUUGGCAGACCAAAUACAAAAGAACGAUUUUGUUUAGUUCAAUUUAAAAUACUUCAGAAAGUCCUAAUAGGGCACAUGCCAUAUUGUAAAUUGGGCUCUUUAAAAUGUGAAAAGGUGAAUGUGGUCUAGAGGAUAAGCCUGGGUGUCAGUCUCAAAUCCAAGGUUGUGGGUUGACGGUUCAAGCCCCACCGAGAUACUUUCUGAUGGCCUCAGAAAAAGGAUGUCUGUACUAGUUUCUACUAAGGCAACAGACUUGAGGGUGAUUAUGCAAGCUUUCAGCUUGCGUAGCAAUCUAGCUGAAAUGAUUAAGUUUAAAAUAAGAUACUUGCUGACCUUCAAACAGUUUUUUCCAUUUGUGUUGAUUUGUUUUUCAGUCUGUUAGAAUGUUUAUUAGAAGUGACGAGCAUUGCUUACUGCAACUAAUAUUCAUUUUCUUUAUUAAGUUGAAUUUAACGCACAUAACAUGACUUGUGAUUUUACUGAUACAAUUUUAGCUCUCCAGAGCAGGAUGUGCUCAAGGUGAGCUAUUGUGAUCGGUCUUUGUCCAUCAUCCCGUUUUGCUUUAAAAAACAGCUUCUCUGAAACUACCAGUCCAAUUCAAUGAAACUUUACAGAAAUCUUUCUUAGGUGACCUUCUACAAAAUACAAAAAGGGGUCAUGAGUGAUCAGCAGUAACAACAACAACAACAACAGUAACAACAACAAAAUGGCUGACUUCCUGUUUUACUUUAAAACAUCUCUUUUGAAACUACCACUCCAAAUUCAAUGAAACUUUACAGGAAGCUUCCUUGGGUGACCCUCUACAAAUAUACAACAAGGGGUCACGAUUGAUCAACAACAACAACAAAAUGGCCAACUUCCUGUUUUGCUUAAAAACACAUCUCCUUUAAAACUACCUGUCCCAAUUCAAUGAAACUUAACAGGAAGCUUCCUAGGGUAACCUUGUACAAAAAUACAACAAGGGGGUCGCGAUUGAUCAACAACAAAAAUCUGAUGUUAAAAUCUUGAUAGUUAUGUGAAGUUUAAUCUUAAGCAAGGGCAGCAAACCUUGCUCUAUGGUCUCCCUUUCCGUUGAACAGUGUAUUGUCUAUUUUUAGUUUUUCUAUUUUUAAUAACAAGGGAUUAUAUGUUAUAUUUUUAGCUAACCAGAGCAAGAAGUGCUCAAGGUGAGCUUUUGUGAUCACCCUUUGUCCGGCGUCCGGCCGUCAGUCAGUCCAUCCGUCAACAAUUGCUUAAUAACUUCUCCUUUGAAACUACCUGGCCAAGUUCAAUGAAACUUCCCAGGAAGCUUCCUUAGGUGACCACAACACAACAAAGGAUCACGAUUGAUCAACAACAACAACAACAAAAUGUCUGACUUUCUGUUUUGCUUAAAACCUCUGAAACUACCACUCUAAAUUCAAAGAAACUUUACAAGAAGCUUCCUUGAGUGACCCUCUAUAAAAAUACAACAAGGAGUCACGAUUGAUCAACAACAACAACAAUUACAGCAGCAACAACAAAAUGGCUAACUUCAUAUUUUGCUUUGAAAAAACAUCUCCUCUAAAACCACCAGUCCAAAUUCUAUUAAACUUUACAGAAAGCUUCCUUAAGUGACCCUCUACAAAGAUACACCAAAGAUCAUGAUUGAUCAACAACAACAAAAAAGGCCAAAAGAAGGAAUUUCAUUUUUACUAAAUAAUGAAUUUAAUAAUCAGACUUUCCCAUUGAACUUCAUGUAGAUUAUUCUAAGCUACAAUCUUAUCUUCUGUGUGAAUAGUGAAUAAGCCUUUAUGGAUUUAAAGAAAAUUUGGUUUUGAACAUGUGAAGGAAGGUGAUGUUGACAUAGAUGGAAGAAGCAAAGAUAGUAGUGGAAGGUGCUGAAUGUGUUCUGAUAUUUGUUUAUUGAUUUUAUUGGAUGGUGCACUGUUUGUUGUUUGUGUAUCUAUACUUAAAACUCUUUCAGUGUGCAAGCAAUUUAACAUAGAUUUGUUAGUGUGCAGGCAAUGGAACGAAGUCCUGUGUGUGUGCAGCAAUUGAACAAAGUCCUGUCAGUGUGCAGGCAACUGAAAAAAGUCCUGCCUGUGUGCAGGUAUCUUUACCAAUUGCUGUCAGUGUGCAGUCAAUUAUCAAGUCCUGUCAGUGUGCAGGCAACUGAACAAAAUCCUGUCAGUAUGCAGAUAUGAGAACCAAAUUCUGUCAGUGUGUAGUCAAUCAUGAAGUCGUCAGUGUGCAGGCAACUGAAUGAAAUCCUGUCAGUGUGAAGUCAAUCACCAAGUCCUGUCAGUGUGCAGGAAACUGCGACAAGUCCUGUCAGUGUGAAGGCAACUGUGACAAGUCCUGUCAUUGAAAAAGAAAUAACAACAGUUUUACGGUUUAUUACUACUACUUGAGAACAGUCAUUGAGAACUAAACUACUGUGAUAGCAUGCAGCAUGUAGUAGUACAGAGGCGUGGCUUAUCAGCAAGAGGUGUCGCUAUUGGCUGAAGUUAAAUACACAACAGUUCUCCCCUUUCAAAUAUGAUGUCAUAACAUCAUAUAUAUCAAUAAAAUAUUCCCAUAAUAUUUUAAACUGUUUAUGUUUUUCAUCAUAAAAAUAU